AGUCGUGUCUUUGAAGUCCUGGGCCUCUUAACGUUUGGAUCCUGAGAUCCACUGUCCUCAUCAGACACUUGGACGACCUCAUCAUCGCCCUCUGUCUGACGACGAUGGCUUGAGGGCGUCCCAGAGCUUAGACAUGCCAAGAGGCACCCCGUCAUGCCAGUAUCCCUCUGCCUUACCGAAGGAUGGCCAAGGAAAGCAUUCAGUAGCGUGUAUUUCGAGGAGCUGUGGGCGCCUUAAGAGUGUGCACCCUUCUCAUCCACCUUUAUGAGUCGUAUGUUAGUAACUAAGUGCACAAUCGUUCUCUUCUGUUUUAGU
RNAcentral lists this long non-coding RNA (315 nucleotides) under Coccomyxa subellipsoidea. Its description in RNAcentral is "long non-coding RNA (CSUB_LNC000130)". The record is from RNAcentral. Lineage: Eukaryota; Viridiplantae; Chlorophyta; Trebouxiophyceae; Coccomyxaceae.